AUUGCUGAAAAUUGCAUCAUUUAGGCCAGAACUGAUUUGGAAAAUAGUCAAAGCUACUAUAGUCUGAUUUUUGCAAUGUGACUUAGGUUCAGCACAGCUCAGUGAUGGUUAAUAUAUAAAGUGAGGGUUCAGGGUAAAUUUCGAUGUGAGUAGGAGAAACGAAAGCAAUGCAGAAUAUAUGCAGUUCGGCUAUUUCAAACUUGAAUUUGAAAUUCACUUAGAAUUUGAAGUUUAGUGAAUAACUAUUUCUGCUAUAGAUUAACAAAAUGCUAAAAAAAAAAAUAUAUAUAUGUGUGUGUUUAUGUCUAAUAUACCUAUGGCUAUCGAAGAUAUAUGAAUAGACAUAGUUGUAUAGAGGUUUGUAUGGAAAUACCCCAACAUGUUAAAAUAUUUCCAAUAUUUGUGAAGAUACAAUAUUUGUAUAUUGCAACAAUCAAUGAACAUGCACUCAGCAUAAAAGGUCUAUUUUUUUUUUUUUUUUAUCAAAGUGUUACAAUCUGAACUGUUGUAUGUGAUUGUUCUGCUUUAGUCUAUUCUAGGUGGAGCAGUUAACUUGAAACUUC
This is a non-coding RNA of Pelobates cultripes (western spadefoot toad), 563 nucleotides long. NCBI's taxonomy places the organism in Eukaryota, Metazoa, Chordata, Amphibia, Anura, Pelobatidae. The record is from the annotation of a GenBank genome assembly.